CUCUUGACAACUUUCCUUCCAACCAAACACACUAUAAAAGAAAAAGAACCAAGGAUCUUGUUCUAAUAGAUGAGUUACUACAGGUAGGUAAUGGUGUUUUUCUUCCUCAUCACCUUCAACAUCCUCCAAAGCUAUAGCUUGAGAGGUUUCCUGCUGUCUUCCUAAGUUCGAAUUUUUCGUUAAGCUCCCACCCAGAUAUCUCAAAAGAAGAGCAUGCUCUUGAUCUCCAUAUACUCUCGUAAACUCAAUGAAGUCAUCCAAAUCACUCUCGGUUACUUUAAUCAUAUUUCGAAGAGCUUGUUCAGUACAUAAUGGUGUACUCGGUUCAUACCCCAAGCAUAGGAAUUGGGUUGGUGCUACUCGAUUGGUUAUAUAUGCCUAUGAUGAAAACCACUUCGAGAUGCCUAUGAUGAAAAGAAGAAGAAAAAGAAACAAGAUUCUCCUGAAAAGAAGGAGAAACACCGCUUAUUCUCGGCGCCGCUAGUGAUAAAAGAACCGUCAGAACAUGAUUCUGAUACAAAGCAGAAAAAACUAAAGAGAAAAUCCACUUCAGAAAGCUAUGAUGAAAAGAUGAAGAAACCAUUAAUCAUUGAUGACGAGCCAGAAGAAUUCACCACUGGUAUGUAAUUGAUUCUCAACUCAACAAUAAUGUGGUUAAGGUGACUUGUCCAACUCCAAAUUGUUCUGCAAAAUUGUUGCCAAGACAUUUGCAACAUAUUUUGCCUAAAUAAUUUAUAGAUCUAUGGGAAUUGGCAAAGUAUGAGUCUAAAAUUGCAUUGGAGCAAAAGACUUAUUGUGCAUUCAAGGAUUGUUCUGUUUUGCUGGUGAAUGAUAAUGAUAAGGGAGAUGUUUUGACUAGUUGCGAGUGUCCGUCUUGUCAUCGGCUGUUCUGUGCACAGUGUAAGGUUCCAUGGCAUGCGGAGAUGAAUUGUCAGGAGUUUCAAGAUUUGAAACGCGAUAAAAAUGAAAUAGAUUUGGAUGAUAAGUUUUUGGAGUUAGCUAAAAUAAAUAAAUGGAAGAGAUGUCCAAAUUGCUCUAUCUAUGUCAAGAGAAGUAGUGGAUGUGAACACAUGAAAUGCAGGUGUAAAUGCAACUUCUGCUACCUCUGUGGGAAGAAAUGGAAGCAUGGGCAUUUAUGCAAAAAGAGAAAACAUUUUUGAUUCCACUAUUUUAGGGAUGGUUGAUGUAAUGGAGCGCGGUAUACAGGUUUUAGCUAGUCAUUGCAAAGGAGAGGAAGUUUUAACAAUUUAAAUUUUUUAAUGUUUUGAUGUUGCAAACAAUUUUAAAUUUGGUACAUGGUUUUCUAGUAAAAAAAGCAGGUGCAUGACAUUAUAUCUAUGAAGUUCUGUUUUUUA
Long non-coding RNA from Medicago truncatula (barrel medic), 1355 nucleotides. RefSeq lists it as uncharacterized. The record is from RefSeq and is a predicted model, not a curated record. The transcript is spliced from 5 exons. Lineage: Eukaryota; Viridiplantae; Streptophyta; Magnoliopsida; Fabales; Fabaceae.